Long non-coding RNA from Orbicella faveolata, 975 nucleotides. The record is from RefSeq and is a predicted model, not a curated record. NCBI's taxonomy places the organism in Eukaryota, Metazoa, Cnidaria, Anthozoa, Scleractinia, Merulinidae.
UCUCCUGUGUUUAUGGACUUUGACUUUGUCCAUUAACAUGCAAAAACGAACUUGGCCAAUAUCCAGCCAUCUUGACCUCACUCUUGGUCAAUAACCCAUAUGUAACUGGACUGAGUCGAGGCGCACAAUUCAGGGUGUAAUCUGGUGAGUAAUUUCAAGUCAAAUAAGCAUGAAGAAUGAAGCUCUUUGCUAAUAACUCCAACAAGGACAAAUUUCAAGAUUAAAAAAGUCUUUGGAGAAUUUCUUUUGAGCAAAAAAUUCAGUUGUGUUUUCCGUAAGCUUUUAACACUGUAGGAAACAUUACAUGUUUAAGAAGAAAGCCAUUAAAUUGCGUGCCAGUAAGUGAUGUGUGAAUGGCAUGAGUAUCCAGCACUCCAAGCUGUGACCAUUUUGAUGGCCAUGGUGGGUGACUAAAUUUUUCAAGCAAUCACUGCCAAAUAACAACAUAAAUUAAACAAGGAAACAUCAAGAAAACGCCAUGCAAAGGCUAAAUGUCAUGUGUGUUCAGUGAGCCAGAAAAAGCAUGUUACACUGAGAAAAAAAAAUUGUACAUUCACACAUCUGGAGAAAAAAACUUCUUAGUGCAUGAAAGGGUCUAAAAAAAAUAUGUGCCUGUACCAAAUUACCCAUGCUCCCUGCAAAAGUCAAAUGGUCCACCCCUAACGUAGUUACUUUGAGUCACCCGAGAUCAUACAGUACAUGUACAUUGUUUGUUCCCACAGUUUGAAACACAUCAAACCGAAAGACAGGACAUGACGAUAUCAACAUGAAAACUAUGAUUGGUAGAUGCAAACCAGAAAGCUGUGCUGUGUGCUCAGACUUGUGUGGAGAAAGAUUCAUAUUGAAGCAAUAGAUACCAUAUCAGUUUCUUACUAAAUACAAAACAGAGAAGCAAGGAAAAGAGCUAUGAGCUACUCAAGAGGAGAAAAAAUUGAAUGGAGACACUGGAUCCCAAUAGUAGGUACAAAACAGAAA